GAUGAACGCUAGCGGGAGGCUUAACACAUGCAAGUCGUGGGGCAGCACAGGUAGCAAUACUGGGUGGCGACCGGCGCACGGGUGAGUAACGCGUAUGUAACCUACCCUGUACAGGGGGAUAGCCCGGAGAAAUUCGGAUUAAUACCCCAUAAUGAUAUCGAGGGGCAUCUUUGGAUAUUUAAAGUUCCGGCGGUACGGGAUGGGCAUGCGUAACAUUAACUGGUUGGUAAGGUAACGGCCUACCAAGGCUAUGAUGUUUAGGGGUCCUGAGAGGGUGAUCCCCCACACUGGUACUGAGACACGGACCAGACUCCUACGGGAGGCAGCAGUGAGGAAUAUUGGUCAAUGGGCGCAAGCCUGAACCAGCCAUCCCGCGUGCAGGAAGACGGCCCUAUGGGUUGUAAACUGCUUUUCCAGGGAGAGAAACCUGCGCACGUGUUGCGCAAUUGACGGUACCCUGGGAAUAAGCAUCGGCUAACUCCGUG
RNAcentral lists this ribosomal RNA (485 nucleotides) under uncultured bacterium. RNAcentral's name for it is "bacterial SSU rRNA". It matches the Rfam family "Bacterial small subunit ribosomal RNA", at positions 28 to 507 of the family's 1533-position model. The record is from RNAcentral.